AAGGCCGUGCAGAGAUGUCCAAGAUGCCGCCCUCUCACGGCGGGAACAGGGGUUCGAUUCCCCUUGGGCGUACCA
This 75-nucleotide transfer RNA is filed under the name Mesorhizobium sp. Its description in RNAcentral is "tRNA-Glu". The stretch from base 15 to 72 matches the Rfam family "tRNA". Rfam says of the family: Transfer RNA (tRNA) molecules are approximately 80 nucleotides in length. Their secondary structure includes four short double-helical elements and three loops (D, anti-codon, and T loops). Lineage: Bacteria; Pseudomonadati; Pseudomonadota; Alphaproteobacteria; Hyphomicrobiales; Phyllobacteriaceae. The record is from RNAcentral.